This 500-nucleotide ribosomal RNA is filed under the name uncultured bacterium. Its description in RNAcentral is "partial 16S ribosomal RNA". It matches the Rfam family "Bacterial small subunit ribosomal RNA", at positions 30 to 523 of the family's 1533-position model. The record is from RNAcentral.
AUUGAACGCUGGCGGCAUGCCUUACACAUGCAAGUCGAACGGCAGCACGGGAGCAAUCCUGGUGGCGAGUGGCGAACGGGUGAGUAAUAUAUCGGAACGUGCCCAGUCGUGGGGGAUAACGCAGCGAAAGCUGUGCUAAUACCGCAUACGAUCUAAGGAUGAAAGCGGGGGAUCGCAAGACCUCGCGCGAUUGGCGCGGCCGAUAUCAGAUUAGCUAGUUGGCGGGGUAAAGGCCCACCAAGGCGACGAUCUGUAGCUGGUCUGAGAGGACGACCAGCCACACUGGAACUGAGACACGGUCCAGACUCCUACGGGAGGCAGCAGUGGGGAAUUUUGGACAAUGGGCGCAAGCCUGAUCCAGCAAUGCCGCGUGCAGGAUGAAGGCCUUCGGGUUGUAAACUGCUUUUGUACGGAACGAAACGGCCCUUUCUAAUACAGGGGGCUAAUGACGGUACCGUAAGAAUAAGCACCGGCUAACUACGUGCCAGCAGCCGCAGUAA